This is a long non-coding RNA of Rhipicephalus sanguineus (brown dog tick), 675 nucleotides long. RefSeq lists it as uncharacterized. The transcript has 3 exons. The record is from RefSeq and is a predicted model, not a curated record. NCBI's taxonomy places the organism in Eukaryota, Metazoa, Arthropoda, Arachnida, Ixodida, Ixodidae.
UUGUGACGCGAUUUGGUUUAUCUUCCGCAGAAACUGUUAAGCUCACAAUGCUGAUAUGUUGUUGUUGUCGGCCACGUGUGUAGAUUGACACCGCGAUCGUGGAACACAUGGCUGAUCUGCCUCGAAUAACUGCAAGCCGGCGCGUGCGUAGUGCCGUGGAGAACGAUCAGAAGUCCUGGACGACAAAGAAAAAAACUUCAAAGCUGCCUCUGCGAACCCCGCUCCUGGACAACAGCUGGGAGGCUCUGUGUUUAAACGCGUGCACCUUGGACGUCAUGCUCCUGCCUCUGCGAGCCCUGCUGUUGGACGCCAGCUGGAAUGCUCUGCGUUUGAAAGCGUGCACCCCAGAUGUCAUGCUCAUAAAUACAGAGUUCUCAUGAUUCUAGUGUUGACAAAGCAAUAAGUAAAAGCAGGCAAUUGUGCAUCUGGAAUGAGGUUUAACCCUGUCUCAGGAGACAUAAGACAAUAUAGUCAUGCUAUGUUCCUGUUGUUCACCAUUUUCAUGCAUGUUGUGUGCAGUACGUAUACAUACAUGCAGGCUUUGUUUUUGUUGUCCUCAGCUGCCUCUGCAAGCCCUUUUGCUGGACGCCAUGGAAGGCCCUCCACUCGAAAGUGUGCACCUUAGACUACACGCUCAUCAAUACCAAGUUCUUUGUCCUUCUCGGCAUGAUUGUA